CAGUAGCCGCGGUAAUACGAAGGGUGCAAGCGUUACUCGGAAUUACUUGGCGUAAAGCGUGCGUAGGUGGUGGUUUAAGUCCGUUGUGAAAGCCCUGGGCUCAACCUGGGAAUUGCAGUGGAUACUGGGUCACUAGAGUGUGUCAGAGGAUGGUGGAAUUCCCGGUGUAGCGGUGAAAUGCGUAGAGAUCGGGAGGAACAUCAGUGGCGAAGGCGGCCAUCUGGGACAACACUGACGCUGAGGCACGAGAGCGUGGGGAGCAAACAGGAUUAGAUACCCCAGUAGUCCCUGUCUCUUAUAC
RNAcentral lists this ribosomal RNA (301 nucleotides) under uncultured bacterium. RNAcentral describes it as "partial 16S ribosomal RNA". It matches the Rfam family "Bacterial small subunit ribosomal RNA", at positions 509 to 807 of the family's 1533-position model. The record is from RNAcentral.